Molecule: long non-coding RNA, 662 nt
Organism: Camponotus floridanus (Florida carpenter ant)
Lineage: Eukaryota; Metazoa; Arthropoda; Insecta; Hymenoptera; Formicidae
Exons: 3
Source: RefSeq, a predicted model, not a curated record
AUAAAAAUAUCACAACUACAGAAUUGGAGCACACGGUGCACAAUCUAACAUUUAACACGACAUAUUAUUUUCGAGUACGUGCGCAUACUAAAAUUGUUGCUGGACCUUACACGGAUUUAAUCAAUGUAUCGACUACACAUGAAAAUCCAAUACCUAAAUUAUUACUCACAACGAAUGAAGAUAUCCAACUAUGGGAUGCGGAUUUAAACAUCAUUACUAAUUUUGAAAUAUCGUCACAAUCAGAAUUAAUAGAUGUCGCUUAUUCGAUACAAGAAUAUAGAAUUUAUUGGAUAACCCGAAGAGACCUAAUGACAUUAAAAAUUAAUGAAAAUAAUAUCACAAAAAUAGGUAGCUUUGAUCAUGAUCUACAUGAUUUCUGCAUUGACUGGGUAGCAAGAAAUCUAUAUUUGACCUAUCAAGAGCCAGAUUAUUCUUACAUUGUAAAAUUCGACUUAACAAUGUGGGAAAAUGGCAUAAUUAAAUUUUCUGAGAUUUUCAAAUCAGAAAAUGAUAUUGGCUUUUUAAGUAUAUCACCGUUUAUGGGAAUCUUAUAUCGCAUAUCAUACAAUUGGACGAUUGAAAAAUAUAAUAUGAUAAAAUAUCAUUUCGAUGGACAAAACGAUCAAAUUAUUGGGGUGGAUACUCACUUUAGUACACCCAUA